GCUCAGAUGAAACGCUGGCGGAAUGCUUUACACAUGCAAGUCGAGCGGCAGCGCGGGGCAACCUGGCGGCGAGCGGCGAACGGGUGCGUAACACAUCGGAACAUGUCCAUUCGUGGGGGAUAGCCCGGCGAAAGCCGGAUUAAUACCGCAUGAGCCCGAGAGGGGAAAGUGGGGGACCGCAAGGCCUCACGCGGAUGGGUUGGCCGAUGUCCGAUUAGCUAGUUGGCGGGGUAAGAGCCCACCAAGGCGAUGAUCGGUAGCUGGUCUGAGAGGAUGAUCAGCCACACUGGGACUGAGACACGGCCCAGACUCCUACGGGAGGCAGCAGUGGGGAAUUUUGGACAAUGGGGGCAACCCUGAUCCAGCCAUUCCGCGUGAGUGAAGAAGGCCUUCGGGUUGUAAAGCUCUUUUGUCCGGAGCGAAAAGGUUACGGUGAAUAUCCGUGACUACUGACGGUACCGGAAGAAUAAGCACCGGCUAACUACGUGCCAGCAGCCGCGGUAAUACGUAGGGUGCGAGCGUUAAUCGGAAUUACUGGGCGUAAAGCGUGCGCAGGCGGUUUUGUAAGCCAGAUGUGAAAGCCCCGGGCUUAACCUGGGAAUGGCAUUUGGGACUGCAAGGCUGGAGUGUGGCAGAGGAGACUGGAAUUCCUGGUGUAGCAGUGAAAUGCGUAGAUAUCAGGAGGAAUACCGAUGGCGAAGGCAGGUCUCUGGGCUGACACUGACGCUCAUGCACGAAAGCGUGGGGAGCAAACAGGAUUAGAUACCCUGGUAGUCCACGCCCUAAACGAUGUCGACUGGUUGUUGGGGGUUUGACACUCUCAGUAACGAAGCUAACGCGUGAAGUCGACCGCCUGGGGAGUACGGCCGCAAGGUUAAA
This 879-nucleotide ribosomal RNA is filed under the name uncultured bacterium. RNAcentral's name for it is "bacterial SSU rRNA". It matches the Rfam family "Bacterial small subunit ribosomal RNA", at positions 22 to 898 of the family's 1533-position model. The record is from RNAcentral.